Molecule: long non-coding RNA, 199 nt
Filed under: Carica papaya (papaya)
Lineage: Eukaryota; Viridiplantae; Streptophyta; Magnoliopsida; Brassicales; Caricaceae
Description: long non-coding RNA (CPAP_LNC014593)
Source: RNAcentral
UUACACACGAAUGAAAUUAUAAACCACUGGUUCAUUCAUAAAGGUGUGUCACGGUGCCGUUGCAUUUUACUUGAUAUUAGAACGAGAAGGAGAGAUGCAGAGUGCACGCACAAAGAAACAAAUGAUGGGAGGGGGAUGGAAGGAGAAAGAGUGUAUGUAUUUGCAGCGCAGAAUGAAACAUGAAGGAUCAUACCAGCAU